This is a long non-coding RNA of Homo sapiens (human), 1970 nucleotides long. Ensembl annotates it as long intergenic non-protein coding RNA 924. The record is from Ensembl. Lineage: Eukaryota; Metazoa; Chordata; Mammalia; Primates; Hominidae.
GGAAUCUCCCAGUUCCUGAGAGCCUCCCAGGCUUUCUCCCUCGAUGUUUGGAGUUUUAUGCCUAUGUAAUCAGUGCAGACAGCCGUUAAGUAAAUGAAGAGGCAACUAACAAUGUCAGAAAAGAGACCGGGCGGUUCCGGCUGACACUACCCUAAUCUUCCAGGACCCAUUAAAUGAGCCUGGCCAAAAUGGAAAACUGCAAGGUUCAAAUCCUGGAGUGCAGAAGAAGCAUUAGGCAUUGACCCUGUGGCUUCCUAAUAGAUCCGCAAAGUGCUUUGUUCCUGGAAAUCAUCCGAUGAGUAGUUCAGUGCUAUUGUAUAUCUUGUUAGAGCAGCCGAAGUGCCACAAAAUGAACUAAAAUCUCCCUGCAGAGUUGCUGUAUCAUAUGCUGAGAACAUUCGGAACUUUCAACAAAUUCAUGUUACGAUCCUGGGUAGCCAUGGUUAAAUCUGUACAGGGGUUAAAUGAGAAAUAUGAGCCUGCUGUUAAGUGUCUUCUGAGAGUGACAAAGCUCUGGCCAUAAGGGAUGGGAGAGGAGGGAUUUCUUCUCAGCCUUCCAGCCCUUUCCAGCUGUAUCACAGACAGGAGACAUAAUGCAAAGGGGCUCAGACAUUGACUUCCUGGAUCUUUGCGGCCCCAGGCAUUGACCCCCUCUACCUGGCUUUUCCUACGCUGUAAAAUGAGGAUCCUCCUAUAUUAUGGAGUUUAUUGUGACAACUAAAUAGCUGAGAAGAAGGACAUCUCAUUUGUUUUAACUAUGCAGUUUCCUGUCUAUCUAUCUAUCUAUCCCAUCAAUCUAUCAAUCAAUCUAUCAAUCUGUCUAUCCCUAUCUAUCUAUCCAUCUAUCUAUCUAUAUCUGUCUAUAUCUAUCUAACAUUUAUCUAUCAUCUAUUCAUCUAUCAGCUAUCUUCUGUCUAUCAAUAUUUCAAUCAAUCUCUCUAUCCCUAUCAAUUAAUCUAUCUACCUACCUAUCAACUAUCCAUCUAUCUCUAUCAUCUAUCAUCUAUUCAUCUAUCAUUUAUCAUCUGUCAAUCCAUCUUCCUACUAUCUAUCAAAAGCAACACAUUUUCUUCCUGACUUUAAAAAUAUUUAAGUGGGCCGGGAGGAUGGCUCACGCCUGUAAUCCCAGCACUUUGGGAGGCCUAGGCGGGCGGAUCACGAGGUCAGGAGAUGGAGACCAUCCUGGCUAACAUGGUGAAACCCCGUCUCUACUAAAAAUACAAAAAAAAAAAAAAAUUAACCAGGCGUGGUGGAGGGCGCCUGUAGUCCCAGCUACUCGGGAGACUGAGGCAGGAGAAUGGGGAGAACCCGGGAGGCGGAGCUUGCAGUGAGCCGAGAUCAUGCCACUGCACUCCAGCCUGGGCGACAGAGCAAGACUCCAUCUCAAAAGAAACAAAAACAAAAACGUAAGUGAUACUCUGUCCACUCUUUUGAUUGAGGAGGUCUGAUUUUCAGGCUUUGGAUUUUAUUAUGUCUUCAAUAUAAUAAUUGUUCCAUGUAUCUCUCCUAAAUUGCCAUUUGAAAAACUGCUUUUCUGAAGUUUAAAGUGCACAUUUUGAUACAUCUUGACACAUAUAUACACCCAUGAAAUCAUCACCACAAUCAGGAUAGUAGAUCUAUCCAUUACCGCCAAGGUUUACUUGCACUCCUUUGAACUUUCUCCCCACUCCUCACCCCCUGCCUAUCCCCAAUCCUUAAGCAAUCACUGAUUUGCUUUCUGUCACUAUCAGUUAAUUUGAAUUUUUCAGAAAUGUAUAUAAAUAAAAUCAUUCGACGUGUAUGCUCUUUUUCUGUUCACCCGGUACAAUUUGAGAUUUAGCCAUGUUUUUGCAUGUGUCAAUAGUUUAUUUUUUUGUUGCUCAGUACUAAUCCAUUUUAUGGAUACAGAGAAAUGUAUUAAUGCAAUCCCAUAUUAAUAGGCAUUUGGGUUGUUUCCAGGUUUGGGCUGUUACAAAUAAAGCUGCUAUGAA